RNAcentral lists this ribosomal RNA (369 nucleotides) under uncultured organism. RNAcentral describes it as "partial 16S ribosomal RNA". It matches the Rfam family "Bacterial small subunit ribosomal RNA", at positions 527 to 896 of the family's 1533-position model. The record is from RNAcentral.
GGAGGGUGCAAGCGUUGUCCGGAUUUAUUGGGGUUUAAAGGGGUGCGUAGGCGGCCUAUUAAGUCAGUGGUGAAAGGUAUCAGCUUAACUGAUGACGUGCCAUUGAAACUGACAGGCUUGAGUACAGACGAGGUAGGCGGAAUUUAUGGUGUAGCGGUGAAAUGCAUAGAUACCAUAAAGAACACCAAUUGCGAAGGCAGCUUACUAGACUGAGACUGACGCUGAGGCACGAAAGCGUGGGGAGCGAACAGGAUUAGAUACCCUGGUAGUCCACGCUGUAAACGAUGAUUACUGGAUGUGUGCGAUAGACAGUACGCGUCUGAGCGAAAGCGUUAAGUAAUCCACCUGGGGAGUACGAUCGCAAGAUUG